GACAGAGGUGGCGAGCGUUUUUCGGAAUCACUGGGCUUAAAGGGCGAGUAGGCGGUAGGGCAAGUCUGAGGUGGAAUCCUAUGGCUCAACCAUAGAACUGCCUUGGAAACUGUUCUACUUGAGUCAGUGAGGGGAGGGCGGAAUUCCCGGUGUAGCGGUGAAAUGCGUAGAUAUCGGGAGGAAGGCCGGUGGCGAAGGCGGCCCUCUGGCGCUGUACUGACGCUGAGGCGCGAAAGCGUGGGGAGCAAACAGG
Molecule: ribosomal RNA, 253 nt
Filed under: uncultured bacterium
Lineage: Bacteria
Description: partial 16S ribosomal RNA
Rfam family: Bacterial small subunit ribosomal RNA
Source: RNAcentral